Molecule: transfer RNA, 74 nt
Filed under: Clostridium sp. AM30-24
Lineage: Bacteria; Bacillati; Bacillota; Clostridia; Eubacteriales; Clostridiaceae
Also listed under: 1 other name
Description: tRNA-Met
Rfam family: tRNA
About the family: Transfer RNA (tRNA) molecules are approximately 80 nucleotides in length. Their secondary structure includes four short double-helical elements and three loops (D, anti-codon, and T loops).
Source: RNAcentral
GGACCAUUAGCUCAGUUGGUUAGAGCAACCGCCUCAUAAGUGGUCGGCCCGGGGUUCAAGUCCCUGAUGGUCCA